AACGUCGAAGAAAUCGGCGGCUAAUACCUCAUAAUGCAGCGGAUCCGCAUGGAUAUGUUGUUAAAGGUUUACCGCCUUGGGAUAGGCUUGCGUCUGAUUAGCUAGUUGGUGUGGUAAUGGCACACCAAGGCUACGAUCAGUAACUGGUCUGAGAGGAUGAUCAGUCACACUGGAACUGAGACACGGUCCAGACUCCUACGGGAGGCAGCAGUGAGGAAUAUUGGGCAAUGCACGAAAGUGUGACCCAGCAACGCCGCGUGGAGGAUGAAGGUAUUCUAUAUCGUAAACUCCUGUGAGAGCAGACGAAAGACAGAUUAUUAAUUUGGAUGACUGUAUGCUCAGAGGAAGCCCCGGCUAACUACGUG
This 365-nucleotide ribosomal RNA is filed under the name uncultured bacterium. RNAcentral describes it as "bacterial SSU rRNA". It matches the Rfam family "Bacterial small subunit ribosomal RNA", at positions 143 to 507 of the family's 1533-position model. The record is from RNAcentral.